CCUGCGUGAGCUCGCUUCUUGGAACAAGACCCUCUGUUUGAAGCUUUUGUGGCUGCUACACGCUGAAUCUGAGUCCCUCUGGGCUUCAUGGACUAAAAAGCACCGUCUUAAGCAUCUUUCCCUUUGGAGCAUAGACGAACAAAAGCAAUCCUCAUGGACUUGGCAAUCGAUUCUAAAGCUGAGACCCUUGGCUGAACGCUUCAUAAAAUGUGAGGUGGGAAAUGGCCAGUUAGCUAGCUUCUGGUAUGAUUCGUGGAACCAUCUAGGACCCUUGAUAAAAU
Molecule: long non-coding RNA, 281 nt
Filed under: Brassica rapa (field mustard)
Lineage: Eukaryota; Viridiplantae; Streptophyta; Magnoliopsida; Brassicales; Brassicaceae
Description: long non-coding RNA (BRAP_LNC001393)
Source: RNAcentral